AGGAACAAACCCACGGAAGGGGCUCAGGCUCGUACAAAGGUGCGGCGGGGAUUCCUAUCCUACUCCCCUGCUCGGUCCUGACUAGGGACCUGCAAAGCGGCCCCGACCGGGGCCCUCAGUGGCUACAGACUUCUCCAGACAGAAGUGCAGAAGAAAAUGGCGUCCGCGGCGAGCAACUCGGAAGUCCCGCCCCCACCGGCGUGAGCCGUCGGAAUCGUCCCCGUCCUAGGCCGUCAUUGGCCCAGCUCCCGCCGUACGCAUAAUGCACAGCCUUCUAAGUAGUGUAGUUUUCCUCAUGUGUUCAACAAUGGGAGGAACGCUUCACGGCGCAAGUUUUCCUCCCAGGGAAAGGCACUCCAGGACCCGAGGAGACGCUCCAGACCCACCUCUUUACGAUCCCUCCUCCCCGGAUCAUCAUCUUGGAAGACACAAAAAAGCCGAAUGAUCAUCUGGAAGCCCUGCCCCGACACGUUGUGUGCGCAAACUGCCCUCUUUUGGGCCUUCUUUGGACCAGCACAGCCGCCACGUGAUGCAGGGAGCCAUGUAUUUGGCCCAGACCACACAAAAAGUGGAUUUGCCCACUUCUGAGGUGGGGAGGCUGCAAGUGGAGGAGGCUUGGAGGCUCAGGAUGCUUAGUUUGAAAUGUCUACAGAACCACAAAGUAUCUCUGUCACAGGCAAUUCAACUUACGACUGAAUGUUGGAAGAAGGUUUGAGCAUGAAUAUAUGAAUUUAGGAGUUACCUUACACUGUUAUUUCAAGUCAUGAUAUUGAGUGAGACCAUCAAGGCAAUGCAUGUAGAUGGAGAAGAAAAUACACAGAGCAUGAGCCGGGGACCAAGUCUACAUCAUUAAAUGGUUGAUGACAAUAUUACCAGAAAGGCCAGGUCCUUGCAUCUAGAUCCUGCUGCUUGCUGCACAGAAGGCCAAUCAGCAAGACAAUGAGUAUUGUCAGGGAUGAAGGCUUUAUUCGGUGCUGCAGCUGAGGAAAAUGGGAGAUCAAUCUCAAAUCCCUUUCCUCAACUGACUAAAACUAGGGGUUUAUACAUCAGGGAAGAAGUGUAACUAUGUUUGAGAAAACAGGAAUUAGGAAGGGGUAAGGAAGAGGAAUGGGUCAACAGGCAGCAGAUGGUCAGUUAGGCAAUCAUCAUGGGUAAGGGGUAUAGCAUCUCGUUUUUCCAGAUGUGGUAAUCCAGUAAGUUUCAGUUUCUUUAUACUAUCUGGGAGGCCUGAUGCUUGGUUUCCUGAGAAAGGAAAUCAGAUAAGACAAAUAAAAGUGUCUCGAGUUUUAGGAAGGGGAGGCUCAAUGUCUAUAAUGUGUUGAUUCAAAAGAAACCAUAAAUAUCAGUUCUAUGGGACACUGGAGCUGGUUUCAGUUCCCUGUUUCUAUUUAUCAAUUCCUCAAU
RNAcentral lists this long non-coding RNA (1404 nucleotides) under Pan troglodytes (chimpanzee). RNAcentral's name for it is "long non-coding RNA NONPTRT008650". The record is from RNAcentral. Lineage: Eukaryota; Metazoa; Chordata; Mammalia; Primates; Hominidae.